GCUAUACAUGCAGUCGUACGCUUCUUUUUCCACCGGAGCUUGCUCCACCGGAAAAAGAGGAGUGGCGAACGGGUGAGUAACACGUGGGUAACCUGCCCAUCAGAAGGGGAUAACACUUGGAAACAGGUGCUAAUACCGUAUAACAAUCGAAACCGCAUGGUUUUGAUUUGAAAGGCGCUUUCGGGUGUCGCUGAUGGAUGGACCCGCGGUGCAUUAGCUAGUUGGUGAGGUAACGGCUCACCAAGGCCACGAUGCAUAGCCGACCUGAGAGGGUGAUCGGCCACAUUGGGACUGAGACACGGCCCAAACUCCUACGGGAGGCAGCAGUAGGGAAUCUUCGGCAAUGGACGAAAGUCUGACCGAGCAACGCCGCGUGAGUGAAGAAGGUUUUCGGAUCGUAAAACUCUGUUGUUAGAGAAGAACAAGGAUGAGAGUAACUGUUCAUCCCUUGACGGUAUCUAACCAGAAAGCCACGGCUAACUACGUGCCAGCAGCCGCGGUAAUACGUAGGUGGCAAGCGUUGUCCGGAUUUAUUGGGCGUAAAGCGAGCGCAGGCGGUUUCUUAAGUCUGAUGUGAAAGCCCCCGGCUCAACCGGGGAGGGUCAUUGGAAACUGGGAGACUUGAGUGCAGAAGAGGAGAGUGGAAUUCCAUGUGUAGCGGUGAAAUGCGUAGAUAUAUGGAGGAACACCAGUGGCGAAGGCGGCUCUCUGGUCUGUAACUGACGCUGAGGCUCGAAAGCGUGGGGAGC
RNAcentral lists this ribosomal RNA (749 nucleotides) under Enterococcus sp. M352. RNAcentral describes it as "bacterial SSU rRNA". It matches the Rfam family "Bacterial small subunit ribosomal RNA", at positions 48 to 769 of the family's 1533-position model. Lineage: Bacteria; Bacillati; Bacillota; Bacilli; Lactobacillales; Enterococcaceae. The record is from RNAcentral.